Molecule: ribosomal RNA, 380 nt
Filed under: uncultured eukaryote
Lineage: Eukaryota
Description: partial 18S ribosomal RNA
Rfam family: Eukaryotic small subunit ribosomal RNA
Source: RNAcentral
CAAUAGCGUAUAUUAAAGUUGUUGCGGUUAAAAAGCUCGUAGUUGGAUUUCUGCUGAGAACGACCGGUCCGCCCUUUGGGUGUGUAUCUGGCUCUUUCUUGGCAUCUUCUUGGUGAACGUUGCUGCACUUGACUGCGUGGAGCGCUACCCAGGACUUUUACUUUGAGGAAAUUAGAGUGUUUCAAGCAGGCAUACGCCUUGAAUACAUUAGCAUGGAAUAAUAAGAUAGGACCUCGGUUCUAUUUUGUUGGUUUCUAGAGCUGAGGUAAUGAUUAAUAGGGAUAGUUGGGGGCAUUCGUAUUUAACUGUCAGAGGUGAAAUUCUUGGAUUUACGGAAGACGAACAUCUGCGAAAGCAUUUGCCAAGGAUGUUUUCAUUGA